GUCAUAACAUAUAUCGUUUGACUCCCAGUUUUAGGAAAUGGCAGUGAAUGUCAAGUUUAUAGCUAAUCCUGCAGCUUUAAGGCUUUGGGAACAAAUGUGAUGCUGAAUUUGAUUUUUUCUGUGGUGUGGUGGGGGAGUUUCAGAGGCCCCUUUUAACGGGCAAGCCUAUCCAGUUUGGUUAUAAAACCAGAUUUGUGUAGCGAUUCCUCCGGUGAAUAAAUGUAUUGACCUCAAAUGACACAAUCAUAAUCUAGUUUUAGAUGAAACGCGGGGGGCUGCUGCGAUAAUGUCACCGAACUGCAUUUUCAAGUGGUUUUAUUAAUUCUGUGCUUUUGCAUGCGAAGAGAGAUUUGUUUGGGUUUUUUUUUUUUUUUGGUUGGGUUUUGGUUGUGUUGUUGUUUUUUGUUUUUUUUUUUUUUUUUUUUAAAUGAUCUACGUGUGUCUAUCCCCGUCUCGUGAAGCGGCGGCGGUGGUUGUUGGAAGCCCUUUAAGUUGAAACCGAGUGUCUGGUUAUGGCGAGCUGGUUUCUCGCAGUACCACAUCCCAUCUCCUGUGUGUGAUCCUCGGCUGCUCUGCCUUGCGAUAGACGCCGGAGCAGCUGGGGAUCGCCUUACGGGCAACGCGUUCCUAGGGAUUGACCGGAAUAAUGAGGAAAAUGGCUCAGUACAGUUUUAAAAAUAAUUCAUUAUGAUGGCUCGAAAAUUUGGGCUAAUCCAGCGCAGCCCGGGCUGUAUUUCUGCCUCUCUUUAUUCAGCCGCUUAACCAAUCCCUUGUAAUUGUCUAAUCCUUUAAACAUAUAAAUGUGGAUGGGUAGUUAGAUUUUUGUUCGUGCUCCAGUUACGUUUUGAUUGGCACGGGGCAGUUUUUCUUUUCGUUUGGAAAAACGAAGGGGAUUAUCCAUAUAUGCAGUAGAGAGAAUAAUGAUUUUUAUGUGAACGUUAAAAAAAUUAUACGUGUAUAUAUAUAUGUAUAUUGUCCCCCCCCUCUGCCUCCCCCAAAAUUAUGAAUCCUCGCUUCUGGGUAUGUUUGAUGCGAGGCUUUAAAAGUUGUAGGUUAUAUCGUGUCUUGUCGCCUGCGCCGAUUUCUUUCAGAGAGGGGUGUUCCUGGGCAGGGAGGGUGACCUUCGGGACACUUUCCCUCGCUAUUAUAUAGAUUUGGUAAAAACUGCAGUUGACUCCAGCUGACUGCCCGGUAUCGAUUGCCCGCCCCGCUGAAACGCUGCCCGGGGGUGGUGGUGGAACGAUGUAUGUGUGUUGGGGAGGGGGGGCUGGUGGUGCGCGAUAUUUCAGAGCUGCCUCCCCCUCUCCUUUCCGCCCCCCCCCCCCCUCUCCUACACCCCCUAAAUUUCCGAAUUAAAAUACAUCCGCAUUGCAGAGGAGAGGGGAGCCCGGGGCCGGCGAGUUUAAACUAUGGCAUCGAAACGGGAACGGCGGGUGGAAAGUGUGGCGAAACACGCGAGGCGUCCACGUUUCCCAGGCAGGCAGACAAAAGCGGGGCGGGGGGGACGUGGGGGGGGAGGAAACCGCGGUGUUAAUAAUUAAAGCUGGGGGAGAGGAAAAGGGAGAGAUCGCCCCAAACCUCGGCUCUCCACGGGCUCGCCGAGGCGAACAAUGCGGCGCCGCUCCCGCACCGCCGGGCAGGGGGUGCGAGCGCGGCUCUCGGGGGAGGAAGGCAGGAGGGACGGGGGCGGACAAUGUGCCGCGGUGCUCCCGCGGUCACAACUUCGCGGCGGCGCUUUCAUUUAACCCUUCUCCCCCCUGCUCUCCUUCCCCUCCGCCCCCUCCCCGUUUUCAUUUCUGGCAGGGGGCGGCGGUGCCGGCGGGGCGCGCUGGCGGCGGCAGCAGCAACAGGUUGUGGUGGCUGUGGCGGAGCCCGCGGGCCGCCGGCCACGCCGCCGCCCGGCCAGGUUCGCCCCGCUCCCCGUGACGUCACAAAGGGACGGGCCUGCGCGCCGCGCAAUCCUCGGCGCCCCCCCCCAGCGCUCCGGCUGGCCCCCCCCCGCCGUGACGUCAGAGCCGAGGCGGGGCGGGGGCGGGAGGAGCCCCCCGGGGCAGCUCUCGGCGCCUCCGCGGGGGGGGCGGGGAGGGGGCGGCCCGGGCCAGGUGAGCAGGUGCGGGGCCGCCCUGCCCGCUUCGGGCUGCGAGGUGGGAGGAGAGCGCCGGUCACGUCGCCCCCGUGGCGACACGCGUGGUGGCACGUCGCCUCCUGCCCGUGACCUUCGGGCGCUACGGCAGCCCGGCGGAGUACGGCCGCCGCCGCCGCCUCCUCCUCCUCGCCCGUGCCAGCACAGGCUUCGCCUGUUCCCGGAACAAUGGUCCCGGUGUCGGGCCCUGCUGCCCGCCCCGGGUCCCUGGUGCCCCCAGCGCGGAGGUGAUGCCCCGCCGUGAGGAGCUGCCUGCCCGGCCCCAGCCGCUUUGUGGCCCCGCUCCUCUCAUACCGCUGCGGGUUGUCAUAGAAUCAGAGUCACAGAUCGGUUUGGGGUGGAAGGGUGUACCUUGAAGAAUAUCCAGUUCCAAGCCGCCUGCGGUGGGCAGGGACACCUUCGACUAGACCGUGUUUCUCAGAGCCCCGUCCAACCUGGCUUUAACCUGGUCUUGUGGUAUGGGGAGCAGAGCCUGUUCAGGCUGCUGCUGCCGUUUCUUCUUUUCGGCAUUUGCAAAAUGAAUUCCGAAAACAAGAAGGUGGUGAGAACAAUGGAGUAAAGCCUGUGCGUUGUGGGCUGCCAUCGCGGGCUUGGCUCCCCACUCCGUAAGUGGUCACAAUUGAAAGUUCACUUAAACUUCGGGAGUGUUAUCUUUUGUGACUGGUAACCCAGGAAUGAGGAAAUCCGUGUAGACAUCUUUUUUUCCUGUGAUUUAAAAACGCUAUCACUUAAUUUUUAAAAGAACCAUGGCUGACUCAUACAACUCUUUCUUCUCACUUUACCCUCCUCCUUCUCAAACAUCUUUACAUAUCAAAUAUUGCCUUUUGGCUCAAGCCUCAGAAAACUGACAGCUUUGUAAAGCAUCCGCCGAGAAGCCAGACUGCGUUCAGUAUGCGCUUGGAAUUAAUAGUUCUUAAAUGAAAAGCUUUGAAGUCUUAAGCGUAAUUUCACAGGUGCGUUUUGCUGCCUGGUUUUGUGAUUCUGAAUAGCAAAUCUUCUGGUUUUGCUGGCUUAGGUCUCAGGGUAUCAGGCCUGGUUUACUGCCUUGAAAUACCUGCAUGGUUCUGCCACGGUAGCAGAUGGUAAAAUAUAAUUAAGGAGUAAUGUCAGUACUGUUGCCUCGUGUGAUUCGUUUCCUUGUCCUUGUAGAAGUAAAACUCCUGUAGUCUGCCAUGAGGUGACAUGCUUCACCUACCAAUGGCCUGGUAAGCCCCUCAGACAGAGGGCCCGCAAGGCCCUGCUAGGAUUAGCAUGCUGCAGACAUCUGAGGAGAGCUCCUGUGAGUGCUGCAGCCUUUGUGCUUGGAGCAGGCUCAGGGAGUUUUGGGGGAGAUGGUGACCAUGCAGCACCACCACCUCCUUCUGUGUCAGGGGGAUUUGUGCAGGGGCCUGACGCUGGGCACUCCAGGGCUUCAGCCGGACUCUCCUGCCCUGCUUUUUUUUUUUCUGUGGGAGUUACCUCAUUUCUCUCCUGCAGCCCCACAGCUGACAGCAGGCUUUAAGUCUGACCACUUUCUACAAGAAAUAAUGUAAAUAUGUCGUUGGCAGCAGAGAUGGUAUUCAGUGUACAUUGCAUCUUAUUUCACAUCACCUUCUGGGGCUUUCUUGUGUUAGGUCUCUUAUAGGCUUGCAGUAACAAUUACAGCAGCAUAGCACACUCAAGUCUUUUUUUUCCCCCUUUAUGUAAAACUUAAGGAUGCUAGCUGCACUUGAGAGCUGCGUUUGGGUUUCUCUUAACCUCCUCCUGAUCUCUUGAGACUACAACAUUACGUUAUGCUUUGCCCUGAGAUACUAAUGGACUCCUGCUCACUCUGAUGGACUGCAAGCCAGGAGUCUGUGUAAUAUGCUGUCCAGAGUGAAUUAGAAUGAAUCAAGGCUCCCGUGAAGAGUUUCUAAUGUUCAUUAAGCACUUCCACCUUCUCUUAUGAGGCCUACUAAGCCAGCAUUAAAAACAUAUUACCCCUUC
Molecule: long non-coding RNA, 4108 nt
Organism: Pseudopipra pipra
Lineage: Eukaryota; Metazoa; Chordata; Aves; Passeriformes; Pipridae
Exons: 2
Source: RefSeq, a predicted model, not a curated record